This 361-nucleotide ribosomal RNA is filed under the name uncultured bacterium. RNAcentral's name for it is "bacterial SSU rRNA". It matches the Rfam family "Bacterial small subunit ribosomal RNA", at positions 29 to 419 of the family's 1533-position model. The record is from RNAcentral.
AGCGAACGCUGGCGGCAGGCCUAAUACAUGCAAGUCGAGCGCACCUUCGGGUGAGCGGCGGACGGGUGAGUAACGCGUGGGAACGUGCCCUAAGGUACGGAACAACUGAGGGAAACUUCAGCUAAUACCGUAUGUGCCCUUCGGGGGAAAGAUUUAUCGCCUUAGGAGCGGCCCGCGUUGGAUUAGCUAGUUGGUGGGGUAAAGGCCCACCAAGGCUACGAUCCAUAGCUGGUCUGAGAGGAUGAUCAGCCACACUGGGACUGAGACACGGCCCAGACUCCUACGGGAGGCAGCAGUAGGGAAUCUUGCGCAAUGGGCGAAAGCCUGACGCAGCCAUGCCGCGUGAAUGAUGAAGGUCUUA